Molecule: ribosomal RNA, 468 nt
Filed under: uncultured bacterium
Lineage: Bacteria
Description: bacterial SSU rRNA
Rfam family: Bacterial small subunit ribosomal RNA
Source: RNAcentral
ACUCCUACGGGAGGCAGCAGUGAGGAAUAUUGGUCAAUGGGCGCAAGCCUGAACCAGCCAUGCCGCGUGCAGGAAGACUGCCCUAUGGGUUGUAAACUGCUUUUAUACAGGAAGAAACACUCGGACGUGUCCGAGCUUGACGGUACUGUAAGAAUAAGGAUCGGCUAACUCCGUGCCAGCAGCCGCGGUAAUACGGAGGAUCCAAGCGUUAUCCGGAAUCAUUGGGUUUAAAGGGUCCGUAGGUGGAUUAGUAAGUCAGAGGUGAAAGCCUGCAGCUCAACUGUAGAACUGCCUUUGAUACUGCUAGUCUUGAGUCAUUAUGAAGUGGUUAGAAUGUGUAGUGUAGCGGUGAAAUGCAUAGAUAUUACACAGAAUACCGAUUGCGAAGGCAGAUCACUAAUAAUGUACUGACACUGAUGGACGAAAGCGUGGGAGCGAACAGGAUUAGAUACCCCUGGUAGCGACUGA